RNAcentral lists this long non-coding RNA (395 nucleotides) under Vigna radiata. RNAcentral's name for it is "long non-coding RNA (VRAD_LNC003804)". Lineage: Eukaryota; Viridiplantae; Streptophyta; Magnoliopsida; Fabales; Fabaceae. The record is from RNAcentral.
AAUUUGAUAAAUAAUUAUUAGAUCCACUUAUUUAAAUAAAAUUAUAUCUUCAAAAACAAAACAUAUGUUAGAAUUUAAUUAAUAAAAUAAUUAGAUAAUGGAUAUUUCUAUUGUAAAACAAAUUCAGUGUUAUUCCCUCUAUCAUUUCAUCUUUUCCCUCCACUUCUCCAAUCUUUUCUCAAUUUCAAUCUUAUCCUUUUUACUUUUAUCUUUAUCUAUUUUACAUUUUAUUUUUUAAAAUCCUAAUCUCCUUUUACUUUCACUCUUUCUCUCAAAGGCAAGCCUCCACCUCCCACCCUCACUUUCACUUUCUCUCUUUCUUUUCAAUUUUCACAUCUGUUGAAACAAAAGUAUGUGUAGGUGUCUUUCUUCUUAAAAUGAUCUCUUAAGAUCGA